AGCAACGUGGCUCAGUGGAAAGAGCAUGGGCUUGGAAGUCAGAGGUCAUGGGUUUGAAUCCCAGCUCUGCCA
Molecule: non-coding RNA, 72 nt
Organism: Ornithorhynchus anatinus (platypus)
Lineage: Eukaryota; Metazoa; Chordata; Mammalia; Monotremata; Ornithorhynchidae
Source: Rfam